Molecule: unclassified non-coding RNA, 247 nt
Filed under: soil metagenome
Description: partial contains small subunit ribosomal RNA, internal transcribed spacer 1, and 5.8S ribosomal RNA
Source: RNAcentral
UUUCCGUAGGUGAACCUGCGGAAGGAUCAUUAUUGAGUAACUGAGGGUGGCUUUAGUAUGUAUGUACUAAACUGCCCUUACACUCUUCACCCUUUGUUAUUUUUUCUCAGUUGCUUUGGCAGAGCCUUGUGUUCUGCCAGAGGAUACAUAUCAAACCAUUUUGUUAACCAAUAAUUGGGGUACUUGUAGUCUGAUUUAGUUACUUUAAUAGUAUACAAAACUUUCAACAACGGAUCUCUUGGUUCUG